RNAcentral lists this ribosomal RNA (644 nucleotides) under uncultured bacterium. RNAcentral describes it as "bacterial SSU rRNA". It matches the Rfam family "Bacterial small subunit ribosomal RNA", at positions 202 to 842 of the family's 1533-position model. The record is from RNAcentral.
UAAAGGAAGCGAUUCCGGCUACGGAUGGUCAUGCGUCGCAUUAGCUUGUUGGCGGGGUAACGGCCCACCAAGGCGACGAUGCGUAGGGGUUCUGAGAGGAAGGUCCCCCACACUGGUACUGAGACACGGACCAGACUCCUACGGGAGGCAGCAGUGAGGAAUAUUGGUCAAUGGCCGCAGGGCUGAACCAGCCAAGUCGCGUGAGGGAUGACGGUCCUAUGGAUUGUAAACCUCUUUUGUCAGGGAGCAAAGGGCGCCACGUGUGGCGUUUUGCGAGUACCUGAAGAAAAAGCAUCGGCUAACUCCGUGCCAGCAGCCGCGGUAAUACGGAGGAUGCGAGCGUUAUCCGGAUUUAUUGGGUUUAAAGGGUGCGCAGGCGGAAUGUCAAGUCAGCGGUAAAAUUUCGGGGCUCAACCCCGUCGUGCCGUUGAAACUGGCGUUCUUGAGUGAGCGAGAAGUAUGCGGAAUGCGUGGUGUAGCGGUGAAAUGCAUAGAUAUCACGCAGAACUCCGAUUGCGAAGGCAGCAUACCGGCGCUCAACUGACGCUCAUGCACGAAAGCGUGGGUAUCGAACAGGAUUAGAUACCCUGGUAGUCCACGCAGUAAACGAUGAAUACUAACUGUCCGGGCCGAUUGAGGUCUGG